This 261-nucleotide ribosomal RNA is filed under the name Triticum aestivum (bread wheat). RNAcentral's name for it is "partial small subunit ribosomal RNA". The record is from RNAcentral. Lineage: Eukaryota; Viridiplantae; Streptophyta; Magnoliopsida; Poales; Poaceae.
GUUGUUAGGCAAUCUUUUAUACCUAUGGAUGCUGAUGCAAUUCUUAAUAUACCCUUGAGAACGGGAGGUGGAGAAGAUCUUAUGGCUUGGGCACCUGAGAGGUCGGGGAUGUACACUGUAAAGUCAGGUUAUCGCUCUCUUAUGAUUCAGAACGAGCAAAAAGCUCUGGAAGAAGGGACGAUGACGGAUACUUCAGAGACUGAUAAACAGUUGUGGUCUCGGCUAUGGAAACUCAAGGUUUUGCCCAAAGUUCGUGUCUUC